UUUAAUAAAAUAACAUAAUUAUUCACAGUAGAAAUACUCUGUUACAUGUAGGCUACUUGUUAAACAAGUACUAAAGUAUAAGCAACGAAAUAAACUUAAACAAUUGUGGAAGAAUAACUCGGAUCAUUCACUGAGGUAAAAGCACAGAGACAGUAAAGUAAUAUUCCAUUACAAGUAAAGGUAUAAAGAGAGUGAAGUAGAAAUACUCCAUUAUUAAAUUAAACAAACUCCGACAGUAAAAUCAAAAAUAAACAACAAUAUCUAGGACUGAAAAGCAGCACUGAACGGCCCGAGCACAUGUGUUUUGAAGCGUUGCAUGAGUUUUGCGCGCUGCGGAAAGGAUGAAAGCUUCACUUCCUGCGUGCGUCACGUGAUGUUGACCUUCAACUAAAACAUAGAACAGAGUAAGUUUCUUUGUGUGUUUUAAUGAACUGAGAUAUUUGUAAGUUUGAAUUGAUCCUGGACUCAUUUGUUUUCUCUGUUCACUUUUAACAGCUGCACACAUUGUCAGGUGGUCUCCAGAUGGAGAUAAAUAUGAGGUGGUGGUAGAUGACGAGGUGAACAUCUACGACCUGGAGACGGUGUCGGUGACCGAAACAAUCACGAACCCCAAAAGAAUCUCGUCUGUUAAGUUCUUAAAUAACUCCCUCCUGGCCGUCGCAGGAGAUGAUGAGAUUGUGAGGUUGUGUGAAUUGGAAAAACUGAAAUGCAUGUGAGCUGGAACCUCCCACCCUCCUCGUGGAAGUGAACACCUCGGCCCGGCUGACGUGCCUCGCCGUGUGGAAACCUUCAUCGGUGCAGCCGCCCGUUGAGGAACCAGCAGCUGCGGCGACGACAUCUGAAGAACUCGCUCGAGAGCUUUCAAAGACCAAGAGAGUUCGAAUUGCGACGGAAGUAGUCGUUCUGGAAGACGAGAGCAAACCCAGAAAGAAGAAGAAAAAGGCAGUUGGAAAAUGAAAUGAGCAGCAAUAAAGAAAACAUCUUUCAAAAAUGUACAUGCACUCUUUUAUAUAUGUGAACUAUUUUUUUUGUUGCACAUGCUGGUACCUGGAAUGGACACUGGGAGGUGCUACACACCAUGUUUCACAGCUCUCAAGAUCUGACUGUUCUUGAGAUCCAAUAUUUUUGCUGUUGAUA
Limanda limanda (common dab) is the source of this 1137-nucleotide long non-coding RNA. RefSeq lists it as uncharacterized. The transcript has 4 exons. The record is from RefSeq and is a predicted model, not a curated record. NCBI's taxonomy places the organism in Eukaryota, Metazoa, Chordata, Actinopteri, Pleuronectiformes, Pleuronectidae.